This 451-nucleotide ribosomal RNA is filed under the name uncultured bacterium. Its description in RNAcentral is "partial 16S ribosomal RNA". It matches the Rfam family "Bacterial small subunit ribosomal RNA", at positions 28 to 523 of the family's 1533-position model. The record is from RNAcentral.
GAUGAACGCUGGCGGCGCGCCUAAUACAUGCAAGUCGAACGAGUUCUUCGGAACUAGUGGCGGACGGGUGAGUAACACGUUGGUACCUACCCCGAAGUGGGGAAUAACUGGCCGAAAAGUCGGCUAAUACCGCAUAAUACCGUAAGGUUAAAGCAGUAAUGCGCUUCGGGAGGGGCCUGCGUCUGAUUAGCUAGUUGGUAGUGUAAUGGAAUACCAAGGCGACGAUCAGUAGCUGGAUCGAGAGGUUGACCAGCCACACUGGGACUGAGAUACGGCCCAGACUCCUACGGGAGGCAGCAGUAAGGAAUCUUCCACAAUGGACGAAAGUCUGAUGGAGCAACGCCGCGUGCAGGAUGACGGCCUUCGGGUUGUAAACUGCUUUUAUAUGGGAAGAUUAUGACGGUACCAUAUGAAUAAGGACCGGCUAACUACGUGCCAGCCGCCGCAGUAA